Non-coding RNA from Drosophila melanogaster (fruit fly), 521 nucleotides. NCBI's taxonomy places the organism in Eukaryota, Metazoa, Arthropoda, Insecta, Diptera, Drosophilidae. The record is from Ensembl.
UGUUUGCGUCAAAUUCGACCUUGCCACUGUAAACAAUAACAAAGGGGAAUCGAAAAACAAACCUCUUCGAUUUCCCGGACCAGAGAGGCCAUCGAUUCGGCUCCUGAUAGAAUUCCAUGGAGUAUGACCACCGGUUUGUAGGCCAGUGAGACGGAAAUGGACGAGCAGGUUAACAGGGCCACCAGGACUUGCAAACGAAGUCUCAUUUUGUGGGGAACAAUGGAUUUCCGACUGUUGUUGUUGAUGUAUCCGUAUCUUUAUUAGCCGCUCUUCUUCUUGCUACCCGCUUUGGAAAUUCUGAAAGUGCGGAUUUGAAAUCCGACAUGCGAAUGGCAAUGUAUGGGUUGCGAGCGCAAUUAUGAGCAGAACGAAAUUUGAAAAUGCAUUCGAAAUUUCUCGAGACUUCAUUGUACAAUAAUUGGAUGAAUUUAAAAUACGUGGUGUGCAUUUAAAAGGAAAGGUUUAUAAAAUAGGUCCCAUAAAUUGGAUGGGUACAUUCAAAUAAAGAUAAAAUGCAAUAU